UGCUUUACACGCAGAAGGUCGUGGGUUCAAACCCCACCAAUAGUACUGUUUUUUAUUAAGAAUGAUUCUUCUU
RNAcentral lists this transfer RNA (73 nucleotides) under Sterkiella histriomuscorum. RNAcentral describes it as "tRNA-Val". The stretch from base 1 to 45 matches the Rfam family "tRNA", at positions 28 to 71 of the family's 71-position model. Rfam says of the family: Transfer RNA (tRNA) molecules are approximately 80 nucleotides in length. Their secondary structure includes four short double-helical elements and three loops (D, anti-codon, and T loops). Lineage: Eukaryota; Ciliophora; Spirotrichea; Sporadotrichida; Oxytrichidae. The record is from RNAcentral.